Protopterus annectens (West African lungfish) is the source of this 138-nucleotide small nuclear RNA. RefSeq annotates it as U4 spliceosomal RNA. The transcript has a single exon. The record is from RefSeq and is a predicted model, not a curated record. Lineage: Eukaryota; Metazoa; Chordata; Ceratodontiformes; Protopteridae.
AACAUUGCAGUGGCUGUAUCAUAGCCAAUGAGGUUUAUCCGAGGCGUGAUUAUUGCUAAUUGAAAACUAAUCUUAACAUUGCAUCAUUCUAUUUAGUUCUAGGGAUAUCCUGGCUGUAAUUAGAAUAUAAGUAGGUAU